AUUUUUGCAGGUAAAAGUGCAUCUUCUCAAUAACACAGUUGAGCCUCUGGCUGUUGGUUGUUGGCGCUAGGUCUUACUGAUGUAGUUGUCGUCGUCGUACAAUAUGGUGACCUGUGGGAAGCUGUAGGUUACCAGGUUGUCUAAGGAGGGGCGAACCGGCCCAGGUCAGAAAUGGAGCAGGCCAAAACUCCUGUGAUGAGGAGUAGUGGGAUUGCACCUGUGAGUGGCCCCUGCAGCACAGUCUGGGCAAGAAAGUAAGA
This 260-nucleotide signal recognition particle RNA is filed under the name Sphenodon punctatus (tuatara). RNAcentral describes it as "Metazoan signal recognition particle RNA (ENSSPUG00000016923.1)". The stretch from base 41 to 243 matches the Rfam family "Metazoan signal recognition particle RNA", at positions 71 to 271 of the family's 299-position model. Rfam says of the family: The signal recognition particle (SRP) is a universally conserved ribonucleoprotein. It is involved in the co-translational targeting of proteins to membranes. The eukaryotic SRP consists of a 300-nucleotide 7S RNA and six proteins: SRPs 72, 68, 54, 19, 14, and 9. The record is from RNAcentral. Lineage: Eukaryota; Metazoa; Chordata; Lepidosauria; Sphenodontia; Sphenodontidae.